Phasianus colchicus (ring-necked pheasant) is the source of this 982-nucleotide long non-coding RNA. RefSeq lists it as uncharacterized. NCBI's taxonomy places the organism in Eukaryota, Metazoa, Chordata, Aves, Galliformes, Phasianidae. The record is from RefSeq and is a predicted model, not a curated record.
UGUGGGUUCUUGAGAAGUUCUACAUUGCACCUUCAAUCUGAGAUGAUCUCAUCUGCCAUUUGGCAAAGAGAAGCAUCUCUCUUAGAAACUCUCGAGCUCUUGUGGACACUGGUAUUCAAAAGAAGAUUUGAUAUGGUAUGAAAGUGGUCUGAAAGGUGCUACCGUAGUGCACUAAUUAACAAGUCUACACAGUAUCAAAGCAUGAUUGGCCUAAGCAAGUUUAUCAGAUAAGAGAAGUCUUCAUAUUUACUAUUCCAACUUGUCACUGCCACUGCUGAAGACUUCUUUACUUUCACUGCAUUAUUCUACUGAAGAUGACAAGCUGGCAUGUCAUUUUCAUGAACUGCUUUCAAGAUCUUCUAAACAUGACAGUCUGCUGAAAUGCUGUCGCAGGUACAAUAUUAAUACCUCUUCCCAUUAAUGUCACAAACUGUGGAGGUACGUAGAGCAGUGAUGGGUCAGACUGUGGUGAUGAAGAUACUUCUCUUACACUUCAAUAAAGCGGAUUGCUUUGGCAAGGCUAUUGACAUAACUGGAUUCAUGGAAAGUAAAUUUCUGAAACAGCCAAAUAUGUUUAUUUGCAAAUGUGAUGUUAUCUCAAGAGAACAAAUAGAAAACAGUCUUGCUAGAAGAGACAACAUUCUGGGUAUCAAGAUGCAUCUAAAUUCAAGUGCUCCUUAUGAGACAAAUAAUAGUUCUCCAGCUUCCAAAGCCAGUUAUUCACUGAGGCUCACUACAACUGUCUGCCUCUGUUAAACGGAGGAAGCAGUUAAUUUUAUGACAAUCAAGCAGAUAGAUUUAGCUAGAAAUUCCUAUUUUGUUCUUUGGAUUGAAUAGUUUAUUUUGAAAAACUGUAUUACUUUAUUCCCUAUUUUCACAGGGUGGUUGUUAAUUAAUUUGUAGUAUGCUGUACUGCAAAUGACUUGAAAUGCAUACCUCCAUACAUGUAUCAUAGUUAUCCUUUUCUGUGAUAAUAAAAACA